RNAcentral lists this ribosomal RNA (509 nucleotides) under Fusarium equiseti. RNAcentral's name for it is "eukaryotic LSU rRNA". The stretch from base 152 to 305 matches the Rfam family "5.8S ribosomal RNA". The record is from RNAcentral. Lineage: Eukaryota; Fungi; Ascomycota; Sordariomycetes; Hypocreales; Nectriaceae.
UUCUUUCGAGCAUGCGGUCCCAACCCCUGUGACAUACCUAUACGUUGCCUCGGCGGAUCAGCCCGCGCCCCGUAAAACGGGACGGCCCGCCCGAGGACCCCUAAACUCUGUUUUUAGUGGAACUUCUGAGUAAAACAAACAAAUAAAUCAAAACUUUCAACAACGGAUCUCUUGGUUCUGGCAUCGAUGAAGAACGCAGCAAAAUGCGAUAAGUAAUGUGAAUUGCAGAAUUCAGUGAAUCAUCGAAUCUUUGAACGCACAUUGCGCCCGCCAGUAUUCUGGCGGGCAUGCCUGUUCGAGCGUCAUUUCAACCCUCAAGCUCAGCUUGGUGUUGGGACUCGCGGUAACCCGCGUUCCCCAAAUCGAUUGGCGGUCACGUCGAGCUUCCAUAGCGUAGUAAUCAUACACCUCGUUACUGGUAAUCGUCGCGGCCACGCCGUUAAACCCCAACUUCUGAAUGUUGACCUCGGAUCAGGUAGGAAUACCCGCUGAACUUAAGCAUAUCAAAG